GUCAACACGGCAGGGCAGAAUCCUGAUUUCCUUGACCAGCUAAUCGUAUCCGACGAAGCAAUUUUUAGCUUAAAUUCUGAAAUAAAUUCAAGAAAUGUCAUAAAAUACGCAGCAAAGGGGGACGGCCACCAGCCGGAUCAUUAUGUUGAAUUUUCUCAAGGCGCCGACCAAGUGAUGGUAUGGGUUGGAUUGGCAAGAACAGGUGUUGUUUUGGGUCCACAUUUUAUCGAAAGAAAUCUCGACAGCAGAGAAUACUUGAGAAUAAUUGGCUAUAACGUCAUCCAAAGAGAUUUUCUCAUCCACAAUAUCGAUAGGCAUGAUAUGUGGUGGCAGCAAGACCGCGCUCCAUGUCACACAAGCAACGCGACGAUGCGGUAUCUUCGAGGACAAUUUCCCGGUCGAAUAAUGAGCAAACGCGGCGAUUGGCCCUGGCCCCCACGCUCUCCUGAUCUGGCAAUUUGUGACUUUUUUCUUUGGGGCUAUCUAAAGCAAACAAUUUGGAACGUGCAGCUUGAUCAGCAGCCAAGGAAUCUUAGACAAUUGCGUGAGGCAAUCGUUUCUGCUCGCGAAUCUUUG
Paramuricea clavata is the source of this 576-nucleotide non-coding RNA. NCBI's taxonomy places the organism in Eukaryota, Metazoa, Cnidaria, Anthozoa, Malacalcyonacea, Plexauridae. The record is from the annotation of a GenBank genome assembly.